AGAGUUUGAUUCUGGCUCAGAACGAACGCUGGCAGCGUGGAUUAGGCAUGCAAGUCGAACGAGAAUCCGUUAGUUCAAUCUUUCGAGAGAGAGCCGGCGGAGGAGAGUGGCGGAAGGGUGAGGAACGCGUGGGUAACCUACCCCCGAGUUGGGGAUAACUCCGCGAAAGCGGGGCUAAUACCGAAUACAAUGGUGUCGCAUCAGCGGCAUUGAUCAAAGGUGGGGAUCCGUAUGGACCUGCCGCUUGGGGAGGGGCCCGCGUCCUAUCAGCUUGUUGGUGAGGUAACGGCUCACCAAGGCUUACGGGUAGCUGGUCUGAGAGGAUGGUCAGCCACACUUGGACUGAGACACUGCCCAGACUCCUACGGGAGGCUGCAGUCGAGGAUCAUUCGCAAUGCGCGAAAGCGUGACGAUGCGACGCUGCGUGGAGGAUGACGGCCUUCGGGUUGUAAACUCCUGUCAUCGGGGAACAAUAGCGGGCCGGCCAAUACCCGGUUCGUGUGAUAGUACUCGAGGAGGAAGCGACGGCUAACUCUGUGCCAGCAGCCGCGGUAACACAGAGGUCGCGAGCGUCGUUCGGAUUUACUGGGCGUAAAGGGUGCGUAGGUGGUACUGUGUGUCGGAUGUGAAAGCCCACGGCUCAACCGUGGAACGGCAUUCGAAACUGCAGAACUUGAGUGCAGGAGAGGAGAGCGGAAUUCUUGGUGUAGCGGUGGAAUGCGUUGAUAUCAAGAAGAACACCGGUGGCGUAGGCGGCUCUCUGGAAUGUAACUGACACUGAGGCACGAAAGUUGGGGUAGCAAACAGGAUUAGAUACCCUGGUAGUCCCAACCGUAAACGGUGCGAACUUGGUGUGGGGGGGAGUUGACCCCCCCCGUGCCGGAGCUAACGCGUUAAGUUCGCCGCCUGGGGAGUACGGCCGCAAGGCUAAAACUCAAAGAAAUUGACGGGGGCCCGCACAAGCGGAGGGGCAUGUGGCUUAAUUCGAUGCAACGCGAAGAACCUUACCAGGGCUUGACAUGCAGGUGGUACAAAUCCGAAAGGAGGCGGACCCUUCGGGGAGCCUGCACAGGUGCUGCAUGGCUGUCGUCAGUUCGUGCCGUGAGGUGUUGGGUUAAGUCCCGCAACGAACGCAACCCCUAUAGUUAGUUGCCACCGCAGGUGAUGAGCCUGCGAGCACUCUAGCUAGACUGCCCGUGACAAGCGGGAGGAAGGUGGGGAUGACGUCAAGUCAGUAUGGCCCUUACGCCCUGGGCUGCACACGUGCUACAAUGACCGGUACAGUGGGAGGCGAUGCCGCGAGGUGGAGCAAAUCCCCAAAACCGGCCCCAGUUCGGAUUGGAGUCUGCAACUCGACUCCAUGAAGUUGGAUUCGCUAGUAAUGGCGCAUCAGCUACGGCGCCGUGAAUGCGUUCCCGGGCCUUGUACACACCGCCCGUCACAUCAUGAAAGCUGUCUGCACCCGAAGUCGCUGAACCAAUCCCACUUCGGUGGGAAGGAAGGUGCCGAAGGAGUGGGCAGUGAUUGGGAUGAAGUCGUAACAAGGUA
RNAcentral lists this ribosomal RNA (1548 nucleotides) under metagenome. RNAcentral's name for it is "bacterial SSU rRNA". It matches the Rfam family "Bacterial small subunit ribosomal RNA". The record is from RNAcentral.